GUUAAGAUUGGAAUGACGCAUGAUGAAAAGUGACCAAGCUAUUGAAUGCUGAGCUUAGGCUUCGGCCGAAGCGUAUCACCGGACAGAGUGCCUAGAAAAACUUCCAGUUGUUCCCGACACGGCCCGUACCGUAAGCCGACACAGGUGGGUGAGUCGAAUAGACUAAGGCGCGCGAGAGAGCCCUCUCUAAGGAACUCGGCACAUUUGCCUCGUAACUUCGGGAGAAGAGGUGCUUGAGACCGUUGCAGUAAUGUAGCGGUGUAAAGCCACAGUAAAUUGCGUUUAGCGACUGUUUAACAAGAACACAGCACUCUGCCAAGUCGUUAAGACGACGCAUAGGGUGUGACAAGUGACCAAUGCGGAAAGAUUAAGAGGUUUUGUUAGCCGCAAGGCGAAGCUCGGCCUUUAAGUCCCCGUGAAUGUCGGCCGUAACUAUAACGGUCCUAAGGUAGCGAAAUUCCUUGUCGGGUAAGUUCCGACCUGCACGAAUCUUGUAACGACUGAACGACUGUCUCGGAGAGGAUCUCGGCGAAACUGUAACGGCGGUGAAGAUGCCGCCUGCCCGCAGUAGGACGGAAAGACCCUAUGCACCUUUACUGUAAGCUGGUAUUGUGUUCUGAUUAGCGAUGCGUAGCGUAGGUGGGAGACUUUGAAGCGAGUCCUUCGGGGCUCGUGGAGUCGCAAUGUGAAACACCACUCUUUGCUAAUUAGGAUUCUAACCUCGAUUUCUGUGAAACCAGACGAGGGACAGUGCCUGCGGGUCAGUUUGACUGGGGCGGUUUCCUCCCAAAGAGUAACGGAGGAGCGCGAUGCUUGGUUCAGCAUGGUUGGCAACUAUGCGUUGAGGGUAUGGCUAGAAACCAGGUUGACUGUAAGACACACAUGUCGAGCAGAUGCGAAAGCAGGCCCAAAUGAUCCGACGGUAGAAUGUGGAAUUGCCGUCGCUCAACGGACAAAAGGUACGCUAGGGAUAACAGGCUGAUCGCUUCCAAGAGUUCACAUCGACGAAGCGGUUUGGCACCUCGAUGUCGGCUCAUCGCAUCCUGGGGCUGGAGAAGGUCCCAAGGGUCCGGCUGUUCGCCGGUUAAAGCGGUACGCGAGCUGGGUUCAGGACGUCGUGAGACAGUUCGGUCCUUAUCCACUGUGGGCGCAGGAAACUUGAGGGGUUCUAACCUUAGUACGAGAGGACCGGGUUAGACGCACUUCUGGUGUGGCAGUUGUCUCGUCAGAGGCAUCGCUGCGUAGCCAUGUGCGGAAGAGAUAAGCGCUGAAAGCAUCUAAGUGCCAAGCUCAUCCCAAGAUAAUGUUUCCCGGAGCGCAAGCUCCCUAAAGACCACGGGCAGACCACCCGUUUGAUAGGCUAGGAAUGUAAGUGCCGUGAGGUGCUCAGUUGACUAGUACUAAUCGGUCGUGAGGCUUGAUUGC
This 1425-nucleotide ribosomal RNA is filed under the name metagenome. RNAcentral's name for it is "bacterial LSU rRNA". It matches the Rfam family "Bacterial large subunit ribosomal RNA", at positions 1457 to 2925 of the family's 2925-position model. The record is from RNAcentral.